Molecule: ribosomal RNA, 478 nt
Filed under: uncultured bacterium
Lineage: Bacteria
Description: SSU rRNA
Rfam family: Bacterial small subunit ribosomal RNA
Source: RNAcentral
AGGACGAACGCUGGCGGCGUGCUUAACACAUGCAAGUCGAGCGAGGCCCUUCCUUCGGGAAGGUGCCCUAGCGGCGAACGGGUGAGUAACACGUGGGCAACCUGCCCCUAGCACUGGGAUAAGCCCGGGAAACCGGGUCUAAUACCGGAUAUGACCUUUGAGGGCAUCCUUGAAGGUGUAAAGGAUUCUGGCUAGGGAUGGGCCCGCGGCCUAUCAGCUUGUUGGUGGGGUAAUGGCCUACCAAGGCGACGACGGGUAGCCGGCCUGAGAGGGCGACCGGCCACACUGGGACUGAGACACGGCCCAGACUCCUACGGGAGGCAGCAGUGGGGAAUCUUGCACAAUGGGCGAAAGCCUGAUGCAGCGACGCCGCGUGAGGGAUGACUGCCUUCGGGUUGUAAACCUCUUUCAGCAGGGACGAAGCGAAAGUGACGGUACCUGCAGAAGAAGCACCGGCCAACUACGCGCCAGCAGCCGC